This 720-nucleotide long non-coding RNA is filed under the name Homo sapiens (human). RNAcentral describes it as "non-protein coding lnc-BTNL8-4:1". Lineage: Eukaryota; Metazoa; Chordata; Mammalia; Primates; Hominidae. The record is from RNAcentral.
AUGUUUCGCUUCAUCCUGAAGUUUUCUCAAGCAUCUGCUAAGAUGCUUAAGUACUCUUUUGCAGUGGGACUAGGAGCCAGCAGAGGAACAGAUACACGUUCUCUCAAGACGUCUCUCCAGCAGAACUUUUCCCCUUUGUUUCCGAGGCCUUGGAUUUUCCCAACAUUUCCAGUGUAUAUGAACAAGACACAAUGCUAUCAUACAUCCCCCUGCAACUUUAAAAAGCAGGAGUAAGCAGUACUUCCAGCCAGGCCACCAAGCACCAUCAUGUACCUGCCUGACAGCCCAAAGCCAGCAUUAUAGGUAACUCUGGCAGGACUAAUCCCCUUCAUUGGUCCACCACUGGUCCUGCUAAUGACAAAGACUUAUAUUCCCCUAUUAGCCUUUACUCAGAUGGAGCCAGUUUCCUAUCCUUGUGGUGGUCAGAUGGGGUUUUGCUGUAUCAGAAGGCAGUCCAGCCAAACCCGACUUCCUUCAUUUAGCUAAUAGUACAGUUCCUGUUGUUUUCACGGUUUGCCUUAUUUCUGAAAGACUCAGCGAAGCCAUAGCAAUCAUAGGUAACGGGGAUAGCAUUACACAUCUGUUUCUUUUGCCACAUUAUCCCAACUGGUUCAAAGCCCUGAGGAAAGUAGUCACUUUAUUGGCCACUUUUUCAUUUAUAAUCACUUUAGUGUUAAAAAUAUUUACCCACAGAAUGGACCUAAGCGACCUGGUCAAGUA